RNAcentral lists this transfer RNA (88 nucleotides) under Alphaproteobacteria bacterium. Its description in RNAcentral is "tRNA-Ser". It matches the Rfam family "tRNA". Rfam says of the family: Transfer RNA (tRNA) molecules are approximately 80 nucleotides in length. Their secondary structure includes four short double-helical elements and three loops (D, anti-codon, and T loops). The record is from RNAcentral. Lineage: Bacteria; Pseudomonadati; Pseudomonadota; Alphaproteobacteria.
GGAGGAAUGGCAGAGUGGUCGAUUGCGUCGGUCUUGAAAACCGAAGAGCCGCAAGGUUCCGUGGGUUCGAAUCCUACUUCCUCCGCCA